GGAAUAUAAGAACCCGUCUCUUAAUUUUUAAUUAAAAAAUUAAGAACCGGUUCUUAGCUUUUUAGUUAAAAUUUAAGAGACGGGUUCUUAUAUUCC
Brassica oleracea var. oleracea is the source of this 96-nucleotide microRNA precursor. It matches the Rfam family "MIR9563 microRNA precursor family". Lineage: Eukaryota; Viridiplantae; Streptophyta; Magnoliopsida; Brassicales; Brassicaceae. The record is from Rfam.